AUUGAACGCUGGCGGCAGGCCUAACACAUGCAAGUCGAACGAGUGGCGGACGGGUGGGUAAUGUCUGGGAAACUGCCUGAUGUCGGGGGAUGAAUACUGGAAACGGUCGCUAAUUCAGCAUACCAGUAGAGGUGCCCAGAUGGGAGUAGCUUGUUGGUGGGGGAACGGCUCACCACGGCGACGGGCCCUAGCGGGUCGCAGGGGAUGACCAGCCAACCUGGAACAGUGACACUGUCCGGCCGCCUACGAGAGUCAGCAGUGGGGAAGAUUGCGCAAUUGGAGCAAGCCUGAUGCAGCCAUGCCGCGUGUAUGCGGAAGGCCUUCGGGUUGUAAAGUACUUUCAGCGGGGAGGCGUUACCCGCAGAAGAAGCACCGGCUAACUCCGUGCCAGCAGCCGCGGUAAUAC
This 406-nucleotide ribosomal RNA is filed under the name uncultured bacterium. RNAcentral's name for it is "partial 16S ribosomal RNA". It matches the Rfam family "Bacterial small subunit ribosomal RNA", at positions 29 to 526 of the family's 1533-position model. The record is from RNAcentral.